Non-coding RNA from Yersinia ruckeri, 184 nucleotides. The record is from Rfam. NCBI's taxonomy places the organism in Bacteria, Pseudomonadati, Pseudomonadota, Gammaproteobacteria, Enterobacterales, Yersiniaceae.
GCUUAUUCUCAGGGCGGGGUGAAAGUCCCCACCGGCGGUAAACCGUGAUCAGGUACUUUAUGUGCUGCAUUGUGGAAGCCCGCGAGCGCUCACACUGGGUGGUUAAUUCGACUCAGUGUAGAGGUCAGCAGAUCCGGUGUGAUUCCGGGGCCGACGGUUAUAGUCCGGAUGGGAGAGAGUAACG